This 517-nucleotide ribosomal RNA is filed under the name uncultured bacterium. RNAcentral describes it as "bacterial SSU rRNA". It matches the Rfam family "Bacterial small subunit ribosomal RNA", at positions 32 to 524 of the family's 1533-position model. The record is from RNAcentral.
AAUCAACGCUGGCGGCGUGCCUCAGACAUGCAAGUCGAACGCGAAAGUCUCCUUCGGGGGACAAGUAGAGUGGCGCACGGGUGAGUAACACGUAGGUAAUCUACCUUCGGAUGGGGAAUAACAACCGGAAACGGUUGCUAAUACCGCAUAAUGCAGCGGCACCUAAUGGUGACAGUUGUUAAAGCGGGGGAUCGUAAGACCUCGCGUCUGAAGAGGAGCCUGCGGCGGAUUAGCUAGUUGGUAGGGUAACGGCCUACCAAGGCGACGAUCCGUAGCCGGCCUGAGAGGGCGGUCGGCCACACUGACACUGACAUACGGGUCAGACUCCUACGGGAGGCAGCAGUCGGGAAUUUUGGGCAAUGGGCGAAAGCCUGACCCAGCAACGCCGCGUGAAGGAUGAAAUCCCUCGGGAUGUAAACUUCGCAAGAACGGGAAGAAUAAGCGAGAGUAAAUACCUUUCGCGAUGACGGUACCGUUUGUAAGCUCCGGCUAACUCCGUGCCAGCCGCCGCCGUAAG